Molecule: ribosomal RNA, 3060 nt
Filed under: Triticum aestivum (bread wheat)
Lineage: Eukaryota; Viridiplantae; Streptophyta; Magnoliopsida; Poales; Poaceae
Description: partial small subunit ribosomal RNA
Source: RNAcentral
AUGGUCCUGGAUGCCUUUGCGUCCUACGUGCUACACAUGCUGACGGAGAUGGCGAGCAAAGAGGUGCACAUGCUGCUUGGAUUCAGACGCGAGAUCGACAAGAUGGACAUUAAGCUUAGGGACCUCAAGAACUUCCUCGCCGACGCUGACAGGAGAAACAUCACCGACAAGAGCGUGCAAGAGUGGGUGGCCCAGCUCAAGCGUGCCAUGUAUGAAGCUGCUGACAUCCUCGACAUCUGCCAGCUCAAGGCCAUGGAGCGCGGUAUGUCCACUGCAGAUGUGGGCUGCUUCAACCCCUUGCUCUUCUGCAUGCGGAAUCCCUCCCAUGCCCACGACAUCGGCACCCGCAUCAAGGCACUCAACAAGUGGCUCGACGUCAUCAAGGAGCGAAGCGCUGCUUUCAACUUCAUACCUCUUGGUUCCUAUGAGGAUUGCAGCAGCAAGGUCCAUGGCUCUCCUUCUGGCAAUAAGAGACGUGAGACGUCAGGGGAGUUUGAUAGGUCCGGUGUAGUCGGAGAGAAGAUCAAACAAGACACGAGAAAGCUAGUUGAGAUCAUGCUGAGUGAAACGGAGAGCAACACCAACAUCAUGGUAGUCGCCGUUGUUGGGGUUGGUGGAAUCGGCAAGACCACUCUUGCCCAAAAGGUCUUCAACGACGAAGCCUUGAAUGCCGAGUUCGAGAAGAUGAUAUGGUUGAGCGUCAACAAGGACUUCGACAAGGUUGAGUUGCUCAGGACAAUCAUCAUACAAGCCGGAGGAGAACAUGGUGGUGAAAAGGCAUUGGCUGUGCUUCAGCCAAUCCUUGCCACUACCUUGAAAGGGAAGAAGCUAUUCCUGGUGCUAGAUGAUGUUUGGGACCAUGGAGCAUGGGAUGAUGUGCUUAAAACACCCCUGGCUAAUGUUGUGGCUCAAGGUAGUCGAGUCCUCGUCACUACUAGAGAUGAAACACUAGCUCGUAGGAUGAAAGUUGUGCUUCCCUACCACCAUGUGGACAAAUUAGAGGAGGAGGAUGCCUGGUCAUUGCUCAAGAAACAGAUAAUCUCAAGUCAUACAGAUGAACGUGAAAUUGAUAUGCUCAAGGAUAUUGGAGUGCAAAUUUUAGCAAAAUGUGAUGGUUUGCCUCUUGCUGUCAAAGUAAUGGGAGGGCUCUUGUGUCAGAAGGACAAAAUACACCUGUUCUUUAGAGAUGAAAUCAUUGGCAUGUGGAUCAGUGAAGGAUUUCUUCAUGGGACAUUGGACGAUUUAGAAGAACUAGGAAGCAAGUACUAUAAGGAGUUGAUACUAAGGAAUCUUAUUGAGCCAGAUGCAGAGUUUAUUGAUCAAUCGGUCUGCAACAUGCAUGAUGUUGUUCGCUCAUUUGCUCAAUUUGUGGCUAGAGAUGAGGCACUAGCAGCUCAUAGUGGAGAAACUAACAUUGUUAGUAAACUUAGUGCACAGAAGCUUCUUCGGUUUUCUCUAGAAGAAAAAGCAUUGGAAUCAGAUGUGUUGGACUGGAGUUCUUUGCAAGCACAAAAGACAUUAAGGACACUAAUAUUAGUUGGCCAUAUAAAUAUCAAGCCUCGUGAUUCGUUGGUUCAUUUUCCAUGUCUACGGACUUUACAUAUAGCUUUUUCACAUGUUGUAGCCUUGCUUGAAUCUUUGCAUGAGCUCAAGCACCUGAGGUACUUAUCCUUAGAACACACUGAUAUAUCUAUUCUGCCGGAUAGCAUUGGAAAGAUGAAAUUCUUGCAAUACAUUAGUCUUAGAGGAUGUCAUCAAUUUGUGGACCUUCCACGUAGCAUUGUAAAGUUAGGGCAGCUAAGGCACCUUAACUUCAGUGGAACGAGUAUAAACAACAUACCUAGAGGAUUUUGUGUUCUAACAAAUUUGAGGGCAUUAAGAGGGUUUCCCGCCCGAGUGGAUGGUGAUUGGUGCAGUUUGGAAGAGCUGGGACCUCUUUCUUUUCUCGAGGAUCUUGAAUUUGACGGAUUGGAGAAUAUAACGGAUUCCUCAUCUGCAGCAAAGGCAAAGCUUGGCGACAAGGUGCAUCUUACUAGUCUAUUCUUAAAUUGUGGUAGUAUAUUGGAAGAUGAUGGGCUGAUUAAAGAGGAAGAUUGUGUCUCUGAGGAAAAGCAACAACAAAUCGAGAAGGUGUUUGAGGAGCUCUGCCCUCCACCCAGGUUAGAAAAUCUUGACAUCAAAGGGUAUUUUGGUCGAUGGCUCCCAAGGUGGAUGAUGUCAUCGUCGGCUGUGGCCCUCAAGAGCUUGAGGAUUCUGUUCAUUACUGACCUAGCUUGCUGCAAACAGCUUCCUGAUGGAUUGUGCCAGCUCCCAUAUUUGGAGUUCAUUCAGAUCAACCGUGCUCCAGCCAUCAAGCGUGUUGGACCUGAAUUCACGCAGUCCUACCAUCAACAUAGUCCUCGUCCUUCCCAGAUGGUGGCUGCAUUUCCGAGAUUGGAAAAGAUUAAAUUAAUAGGAAUGGUGGAAUGGGAGGAGUGGGAGUGGGAGGAGCAAGUGCAAGCCUUUCCUGUCUUGCAGGAACUUAUGCUAAAGCAAUGCAAGUUGAAGUGUCUUCCUCCCGGGCUUGCCUCCCAGGCAAGGGCUUUGAAUACGUUAUACAUAUACAAUGUCCAGGGUCUCAUCUCUCUAGAGAACUUUCCAUCUCUGGUCCUGCUGGAACUGGAUGAAAACCUUGACCUGGAGAGGAUCACUAAUCUUCCCAGACUGCAGGAGCUUACCAUCCUAAACUGCACAAAGCUAAAGGUGUUGGAAGGUGUUCCUGCGCUCCAUAGGCUCGUUCUUUCAUAUAACGACAUGGAAACAAUCCCAGAAUACAUGAAAGGUAUAAACCCAAGGCAUUUGGAGCUAUACUGCAGCCUAGCACUGCUCGUUUCCAUAGCUGCGGGACAAUCUGGCUCUGAGUGGGACAAGUUCGGCCAUGUUGAGCAUGUCAAGGCAUAUGCACGCGAAGGAGGUAAUUCAAGGAAAUGGUAUGUCUUCUACACAGCUAAGCCAUAUAGCUUGGAGACAAAUGUCAGCCACUCUUUCAUGCUCAAAGGCAGGAACCUUGACUUCUUUUGA